Molecule: ribosomal RNA, 527 nt
Filed under: uncultured Actinomycetes bacterium
Lineage: Bacteria; Bacillati; Actinomycetota; Actinomycetes
Description: bacterial SSU rRNA
Rfam family: Bacterial small subunit ribosomal RNA
Source: RNAcentral
AGAGUUUGAUCCUGGCUCAGGACGAACGCUGGCGGCGCGCUUAACACAUGCAAGUCGAGCGAGAACCAGUCCUUCGGGACUGGGGACAGCGGCGAACGGGUGAGUAACACGUGGGUAAUCUGCCCUCGGCACCGGAAUAGCCCGGGGAAACCCGGAUUAAUGCCGGAUGGCCUCUCUGCCCUACGGGGCGGCGAGAAAAGGUAGCUUCGGCCUCCGGCCGAGGAUGAGCCCGCGGCCGAUUAGCUUGUUGGUGAGGUAACGGCUCACCAAGGCGACGAUCGGUAGCUGGUCUGAGAGGACGAUCAGCCACACUGGGACUGAGACACGGCCCAGACUCCUACGGGAGGCAGCAGUGGGGAAUCUUGCGCAAUGGGCGAAAGCCUGACGCAGCGACGCCGCGUGCGGGAAGAAGGCCUUCGGGUUGUAAACCGCUUUCAGGAGGGACGAAGCCACUCGGGUAAAUAGCCUAGAGGGUGACGGUACCUCCAGAAGAAGCCCCGGCUAACUACGUGCCAGCAGCCGCGGUA